GACGUAGGGCGCAAGCGUUGUCCGGAUUUAUUGGGCGUAAAGAGCUCGUAGGCGGUCUGUUGCGUCGGCUGUGAAAACCCGAGGCUCAACCUCGGGCCUGCAGCCGAUACGGGCAGACUAGAGUUCGGCAGGGGAGACUGGAAUUCCUGGUGUAGCGGUGAAAUGCGCAGAUAUCAGGAGGAACACCGGUGGCGAAGGCGGGUCUCUGGGCCGAUACUGACACUGAGGGACGAAGGCCAGGGGAGCAAACGGG
RNAcentral lists this ribosomal RNA (253 nucleotides) under uncultured bacterium. RNAcentral's name for it is "partial 16S ribosomal RNA". It matches the Rfam family "Bacterial small subunit ribosomal RNA", at positions 524 to 776 of the family's 1533-position model. The record is from RNAcentral.